This 80-nucleotide transfer RNA is filed under the name Ipomoea nil (Japanese morning glory). It matches the Rfam family "tRNA". Rfam says of the family: Transfer RNA (tRNA) molecules are approximately 80 nucleotides in length. Lineage: Eukaryota; Viridiplantae; Streptophyta; Magnoliopsida; Solanales; Convolvulaceae. The record is from Rfam by way of RNAcentral.
GAAGGUUUGGCUGAGUGGUCUAAGGCACCAGAUUUAGGCUCUGGUCCGGAAGGGCAUGGGUUUAAAUCCCACAGCUGUCA